GACGAACGCUGGCGGCGUGCUUAACACAUGCAAGUCGAACGGUGAAGCGAGUGCUUGCACUCGUGGAUCAGUGGCGAACGGGUGAGUAACACGUGAGUAACCUGCCCAUCACUCUGGGAUAAGCACUGGAAACGGUGUCUAAUACUGGAUACGACCAACCCUUGCAUGGGGUGUUGGUGGAAAGAUUUAUCGGUGAUGGAUGGACUCGCGGCCUAUCAGCUUGUUGGCGGGGUAAUGGCCCACCAAGGCGACGACGGGUAGCCGGCCUGAGAGGGUGACCGGCCACACUGGGACUGAGACAAGGCCCAGACUCCUACGGGAGGCAGAAGUGGGGAAUAUUGCACAAUGGGCGAAAGCCUGAUGCAGAGACGCCGCGUGAGGGAUGACGGCCUUCGGGUUGUAAACCUCUUUCAGCAGGGAAGAAGCGAAAGUGACGGUACCUGCAGAAGAAGCACCGGCUAACUACGUG
This 469-nucleotide ribosomal RNA is filed under the name uncultured bacterium. RNAcentral describes it as "partial 16S ribosomal RNA". It matches the Rfam family "Bacterial small subunit ribosomal RNA", at positions 28 to 507 of the family's 1533-position model. The record is from RNAcentral.